RNAcentral lists this long non-coding RNA (1292 nucleotides) under Heterocephalus glaber (naked mole-rat). RNAcentral's name for it is "lncRNA (ENSHGLG00100033506.1)". Lineage: Eukaryota; Metazoa; Chordata; Mammalia; Rodentia; Bathyergidae. The record is from RNAcentral.
CUUUGGAACGCUCCAGCCCUCUGAGCCCACCCAACCGCCCUGCCCCCGAGUCCGUGUAGCCAUGGCAGAGCCUAGUGGAGGGGCAGUGCCCAUGCAGGCAGCCAGCUCAGCUUCCCGGGCUCCCACAGCAGUCCUGCAGAUGCCUUGUGUGACAAGUGACUUGUUCUUCAGAUGCCUACUGUGUAGAGAAUGCCAGCCCUGGAAUCCUACAACCUGAUUCAGUCCUGCCACUCCUGAGAGGAAAAUCAGAACAAGUUAAAAUAUAGAAAAAUAAGUCAGGUGCGGUGGCACACGCCUAUAAUCCAAACACCGAGGCAGAAAGAUCCCAAGAUCCGGAUCCACCUGGACAAUUUAGCCCACUGUGUCUCGAAAUUUAAAAAAAGAAAGAAAAAGAAAGCAAAAAAGAGGGCACAAAAAGGCCCAGGGACACACCAGCACAUACAGCUGUGUGCAGCCAGCAAGGUACCAGCCCUGUCUGGCCGCCUGCCAGUGACUCUGAGGCCACUGCCUUCAUGAAAGUGCUCACCUGGGACGGUGGACAGAGGCCCUGCCUGAGCCCAGCACACUUUGGGAUGUCAGGGAUGCCCCUCCCCACCCAGAGCUCAGGUACUAAUUGGAUGAGACUGAAGGGGAGAGGGACCUGAGCAGGAAGAGCUAGGGUCCAGAGCCGGGACUUUGUCUUUGCCUAUGGCAAGUGGAAGUGUCCAAGCUUAAACAGAGAAUGGUUUGCUCUCUUCCACUCUCACCCCCAGCCUCAAGAAACAACUGGUUGGGUGGGAUGAUGCAGGCCUGUAAUCUCCACUGCCCCCAGAGGCUGAGAGAGAAGGUCUGCAAGUUCAAGGCCAGCCUGGGAAAUUUAGCAACGUUCAGAGACUGUGCUUCAAAAUAAAAAUAAUAAACAGGGCUAAUGAUGUAGCUCAGUGUGAAGGCCUUGGGCUAGAUCCCUAGUCCUGAAAAAAGGAAGGAAGGAACUCACUUUGGAUUAGAAGGAAUAAGGACAGAGGGAAAUUGGAUUAAAUGUCCACAGACUGAGGAAUAAACAGUAAGAGAGGCCCACGGGCCCCACCCUGAAGCCCCUGAAGCUGCAGGAAGCAGAGAACAACUGGCUCAACACAUCGCUUUCUUUGAGGAGUCUGAGGCCCAGGGAGAAAAGUGACUCUCAGGAGUCACACAGCAAAGCAGUGGCAAUACUGAGACCCGGACCAAGAUCUCUUGCCUGCCUGUCAAGUGAAGUCCCUAAUAUUCCAUGCACGUGGCAUGGGGGGGGGGGGGCGCUGGAUAUUAAACCCAGG